Molecule: long non-coding RNA, 2838 nt
Organism: Poecilia reticulata (guppy)
Lineage: Eukaryota; Metazoa; Chordata; Actinopteri; Cyprinodontiformes; Poeciliidae
Source: RefSeq, a predicted model, not a curated record
GCUCUGCCUGCCGCGGCACAGCACAAGGAGAGACGGCAGCAGGUUCUGCGUUUAGCUUCACAGGUYAAAGUUUAAACUGACUGGAUUCUUUACCCAGAAGAAGCUUUUAGGAAACUCAUGGAAACCCGCCACGGUAUAAUUUUUCUGCAUUGUGCCCCUCGCUUAGCACAUCAGUAAUUUUUAGCUGAUAAAGUUGCCGCUGUUCCGCCAUUAAAAACCUCUGAAUGAGCCGAUAUCAAAUUGAUAACUUAAUUAGUUUAUCGAGUGUUUAUAUUUCUUAACAGAACCGCAUAAAAAACAUUUUUCAUUCAAAAAAUGGACUGUGUUUGGAUCACUUUUCUGUACCGUUCAGUGAUACCGCCAUCUUUGCUUCUGUACAACCGGCUCCGUUUAUGACCAGCGGCGCCCUCUGCUGGAUGGCGGCCAAACUACACCGCUAAAAGACGGUCUUGGCUGUUUGGAUGUCCAAACUUUUUGAAUUAGGUGCCGGCUCAAAAAUAUAUAGCUUCUAAAACCAUCUAAGAUCAAAUUGGAGAAUAAAGUCUCAGCUAUAAAAGAGGAUUUUUGUCACUUCAUAUAUUUAUCCAUGCUUAAUAAAUGAAUUAAAAGCAAUAAAGUCUGCUUUUGAGGAAAAGUCACUCCUUCCUAUUUACCAUAAAACCAAAUAAAAAUGAAAAAAUUAAUAUUUUCUAUUGCAUCAAACAUUUUCCAUUAUAAGAACAUUUUAAUUUGUAAACUUGGGUAAUUUUCUAAUUGUAGUUGAAGGGGGAGGCUGUUUUUGUCUGGAUGUCCUUGUAAAAAGUCUUACUUUAGACUUUAUACUAAGACAUAUUUCUGUAAAAGCAGAGUGGAUCAGCUGUGGCGUAGAAGAAGCUGCAUCGGGAUCACAGUGGGAGGUCGAGACGGGCUUUGAUAUGGAGAAAACAGCAAUCUCCCGAGAUCUUCAGCUGAUGAUGCCUUCUUCAAUCAUCUCAUCAUCAGCAUCACCAUCAUCACACUUCACUUUUCAUCUCCUCAGGUUUGUGACCAGAGGCCUCUUGGCUGAGAUUUCCCACCCUGACGGUUAAAGUGGGYGGCCAUUUUGCAUAAAGCUGCAUUCUGGAAAAACGGAUGAAAACAAACAAUAAAUCUUCACGGCGUGAGAUGAACAGAAGCAAUAGGCCAGCAGGCGAUCGGGUUUUCUCUCAAGUCCCAGACUGAUCGCCAACACCACAGAAAAAUGACAUUUAAGCUCUCCUCCUCCUCCUCCAACAAAAGAUCUACACUACAAGGACCUAAAACAAGCAGAUAAUCUGGAGUAAAGGAGAUUAUCUGCUAAUAACACUCAUGACAAAUCCACAGUGAAGCGUUCUUUCUCUGACGGGGAUAAAUGCUUGUAGGAAUGUUUGGGGACAAAUAUUGACUUACAGAAACACAAUAAACACACAUGUAAUCACACAUUUAAAAAGGGAAAAACAACUUUCUUCUUAAAUCUUCUUGACAUUUGAUGUAAGACUUAAACUAUUCCAGAGAGGAUUUAGGAUUCUGGAGGUUUGCUCCAAACGGAUUUGUGUUGAUCCAUAACUCUGCGGCAGUCUGACAUUAUAGAUCCACAAUCACGCUGCGUGACAUUAACAUGAGAAAACGUGGAGCAGACGUGUCUGUUUCUUUCUGAGCAGUUUCAGGAAAAUGCAACAACAGAAGGAAAAAAAAGAGAUUUUGGUGUAAAGUUUCCAUUUUGCUGGAAAUCAACCGCAGCUAGAAAAGGAUGGAAAAUUCAGACAUGUUGGGUGAAAAACCCAACUGGACCAUCACUUGGUUAAAACUGAGUCCAUUUCUGCUCCGUUACAAGAUUUCAUUUGGGCAAAAUCACCACAAAAAUAUCAUUUUAUAUAUUGUCUUUGUACUUUUCUUGUGCAGAAAUUAACAGGUUACAUUUACUAAAAUGUAAAUAAAGAAAAACAGCAGGAAGAAAACAAACAAGUUAGAUGGUUUAUGAUAAAUCUCUGGAUUUUUAAAAUCUCAUUUAGAGGAAAAAAUAAGAUGUUUGUGUAAAUAAUGGCUGAACUUGUUAUUUUUAUCUAUCGUAGAUGUUCUGGACAGACGCAAACUGAUUGCAGUUUCUUUGCCGAUCUUUAAAAAGCCUGACGUUACUAUUAUCUUUACUGAAACAAAACUACGUAUACAUGCACUCUGACUGUCUAAAAUUACUUAAUUUGUUUCUUUUAUGGUCCUUUUUAGACCUGAUACUUGAAUAAAAACAGGAAGUGAAAAUAAAUGCUGAUCAAUCUGAAGAAUAGUUUGUCAGGGAUGAAACAGAUCUUCAACUUAAAGGGUAAACUAGUUUUAUAUCUGAUAAAAUAAACAGAUAAUGUGGAAAUGGAGAAAACUUUUAAAAUAAUACCGGCUCUCGGGGAUAAAAUGUACAUUUUCAGAUUGUUGAUCUUGACCCAAAAAUGUAAAUUCUUCAUGCUAGUCUGUUAACUUUUACAAUCUUUUAACCUUAAACGAAUAGAAAAUAAACAUUUUUACAGUAAAAGUUGCUGCUUUAUUUGCUUUUCAGCGAGUUAAUUCCUCAGGGCUGAAAGACGUCAUGUGAUUUCUGUUUUCAUUUAUGCUGUGUGUCGUCAGGAUGUUGACUGUCAUCCGCUGCAACCACGUCUACUGUUUGUUCUUUCAAAAAAAACAUUCCAAACCGCAGAAAAAUUUCUAAAAGUUUCAUUUCAUCCCAUUGUUUACUGGCUUAUGUUACCAGAAACCUCAGAAAAAACAGAGGAAAUCUGCACAUUUCUGCCAAAUAAACCUGAGAAAAGUUUUUUUGGCAUUUUUAUUUAAACAUGGAACGAGUUAUUAAACAAA